This 305-nucleotide ribosomal RNA is filed under the name uncultured bacterium. RNAcentral's name for it is "partial 16S ribosomal RNA". It matches the Rfam family "Bacterial small subunit ribosomal RNA", at positions 506 to 807 of the family's 1533-position model. The record is from RNAcentral.
ACAGCAGCAGCCACGGGAAUACGGAGGGUGCAAGCGUUAAUCGGAAUUACUGGGCGUAAAGCGCACGCAGGCGGUCUGACAAGUCAGAUGUGAAAUCCCCGGGCUUAACCUGGGAACUGCAUUUGAAACUGUCAGGCUGGAGUCUUGUAGAGGGGGGUGGAAUUCCAGGUGUAGCGGUGAAAUGCGUAGAGAUCUGGAGGAAUACCGGUGGCGAAGGCGGCCCCCUGGACAAAGACUGACGCUCAGGUGCGAAAGCGUGGGGAGCAAACAGGAUUAGAUACCCCUGUAGUCCCUGUCUCUUAUAC